This 1539-nucleotide ribosomal RNA is filed under the name epibiont metagenome. Its description in RNAcentral is "bacterial LSU rRNA". It matches the Rfam family "Bacterial large subunit ribosomal RNA", at positions 1449 to 2925 of the family's 2925-position model. The record is from RNAcentral.
UAUAGAGCUGAUGGGAGAACCCAUAGGGCUAUGUGAGGUCACUGAUGGAAUAGUGGCUCGAAAGGUUUAGGCUGGGAGAGAAAGGAAAAUCCACUCUCCUAUAGCUGAGACCUGACAGGCUGUGGAGGCUUUUAGGAGCCAAAACAGAAUCACAGAUGCCGAAGUGCCAAGAAAAGUCUCUAAGCAUAUCUAUAGUUGCCCGUACCGUAAACCGACACAGGUGGGUGAGAUGAGAAUUCUAAGGCGCGUGGAAGAACCAUUGUUAAGGAACUCUGCAAACUAGCACCGUAUCUUCGGUAUAAGGUGUGCCUACUUGGGUGAAGCUCCUAGCGAGUGGAGCCUGAGAGGUUGCAACAAAGAGUCCCUCCCGACUGUUUAUCAAAAACACAGCACUAUGCUAACUCGUAAGAGGAUGUAUAUGGUGUGACGCCUGCCCGGUGCCGGAAGGUUAAAUGAUGGGGUUACCGUGAGGCGAAGCUCUUGAUUGAAGCCCCGGUAAACGGCGGCCGUAACUAUAACGGUCCUAAGGUAGCGAAAUUCCUUGUCGGUUAAAUACCGACCUGCAUGAAUGGCGUAACGAGAUGGGAGCUGUCUCAACAAUGGAUCCAGUGAAAUUGUAGUGGAGGUGAAAAUUCCUCCUACCCGCGGCAAGACGGAAAGACCCCGUGCACCUUUACUACAGCUUGACACUGCAAUCGGGAUAGAUAUGUGCAGGAUAGGUAGGGAGGCUAAGAAGCUAGGACGCUAGUCACAUAGUAGGAAGCCAACCUUGGAAGAUACCACCUUAAUCUAUUCUGGUUUGCUAACUUGCGAGUGUUAUCCACUCGGAGGGACCAAUGUCUGGUGGGUAGUUUGACUGGGGCCGGUCAGCUUCCUAAAAAGUAACGGAGGGCUUACAAAGGUUAGUUCAUAUGGGUUGGAAAUCCAUAGAAGAGUAUAAUGGCAUAAACUAGCUUAACUGCGAGACAGACAAGUCGAGCAGAGACGAAAGUCGGUCAUAGUGAUCCGGUGGGUUCUGAGUGGAAAGGGCCCAUCCGCCUCCAAAAGGAAUUAAAAAGGGUACCCCCGGGGAAUAACCAGGCUUGGAAUCCUCCCCCCCCAAAGAGGCCUCCACCAAUCCGACCGGGGGAAGGGUUUUGGCCAACCCUCCGAUGUCCGGCCUCCAUCGCAUCCUGGGGCUGAAGCAGGUCCCAAGGGUAUGGCUGUUCGCCAUUUAAAGCGGUACGCGAGCUGGGUUCAGAACGUCGUGAGACAGUUCGGUCCCUAUCUGCCGUGGGCGUAGGAAGGUUGAGGAGAGUUGCCCCUAGUACGAGAGGACCGGGGUGAACGAGCCACUGGUGCACCAGUUGUUCUGCCAAGAGCACAGCUGGGUAGCUACGCUCGGAUGAGAUAACCGCUGAAAGCAUCUAAGCGGGAAGCCAACUCCAAGAUGAACCUUCCCUGAAGAUUCCAGCAAGACUAGCUGGUUGAUAGGUUGGAUGUGUAAGCGAUGUAAGUCGUUUAGCUGACCAAUACUAAUAGAUCGUUUGUCUUCUUUUU